RNAcentral lists this ribosomal RNA (497 nucleotides) under uncultured bacterium. Its description in RNAcentral is "partial 16S ribosomal RNA". It matches the Rfam family "Bacterial small subunit ribosomal RNA", at positions 28 to 507 of the family's 1533-position model. The record is from RNAcentral.
GAUGAACGCUGGCGGCGUGCCUAAUACAUGCCAGUCGAGCGAACAGACGAGGAGCUUGCUCCUCUGACGUUAGCGGCGGACGGGUGAGUAACACGUGGAUAACCUAUCUAUAAGACUGGGAUAACUUCGGGAAACCGGAGCUAAUACCGGAUAAUAUAUUGAACCGCAUGGUUCAAUAGUGAAAGACGGUUUUGCUGUCACUUAUAGAUGGAUCCGCGCCGCAUUAGCUAGUUGGUAAGGUAACGGCUUACCAAGGCGACGAUGCGUAGCCGACCUGAGAGGGUGAUCAGCCACACUGGAACUGAGACACGGUCCAGACUCCUACGGGAGGCAGCAGUAGGGAAUCUUCCGCAAUGGGCGAAAGCCUGACGGAGCAACGCCGCGUGAGUGAUGAAGGUCUUCGGAUCGUAAAACUCUGUUAUUAGGGAAGAACAAAUGUGUAAGUAACUAUGCACGUCUUGACGGUACCUAAUCAGAAAGCCACGGCUAACUACGUG